RNAcentral lists this ribosomal RNA (482 nucleotides) under uncultured bacterium. Its description in RNAcentral is "partial 16S ribosomal RNA". It matches the Rfam family "Bacterial small subunit ribosomal RNA", at positions 30 to 506 of the family's 1533-position model. The record is from RNAcentral.
UUGAACGCUGGCGGCAGGCCUCACACAUGCCAGUCGAGCGGAUGAAGGGAGCUUGCUCCUGGAUUCAGCGGCGGACGGGUGAGUAAUGCCUAGGAAUCUGCCUGGUAGUGGGGGAUAACGUCCGGAAACGGGCGCUAAUACCGCAUACGUCCUGAGGGAGAAAGUGGGGGAUCUUCGGACCUCACGCUAUCAGAUGAGCCUAGGUCGGAUUAGCUAGUUGGUGGGGUAAAGGCCUACCAAGGCGACGAUCCGUAACUGGUCUGAGAGGAUGAUCAGUCACACUGGAACUGAGACACGGUCCAGACUCCUACGGGAGGCAGCAGUGGGGAAUAUUGGACAAUGGGCGAAAGCCUGAUCCAGCCAUGCCGCGUGUGUGAAGAAGGUCUUCGGAUUGUAAAGCACUUUAAGUUGGGAGGAAGGGCAGUAAGUUAAUACCUUGCUGUUUUGACGUUACCAACAGAAUAAGCACCGGCUAACUUCGU